GCUCCCCUCGUGCCAAGCCAAAGGCUUCCUUCUUAUUGUUCUCCAGCUUCCUCUCUUUCUCUCCCUCGAGGCCUCUGAGUGUGUCUCCAUGGCUGUGGUUUGGAGUCAAAAGUUCUGUGUCUGAGUCCCAGCCCCCCACCUUAGGUGCUCUGGGACUGUGGCCAUGUCACUCCACCUCAUUGAGCCUCAGUGUCCUGCUCCAUAAAAUGAAGAGAAUAAAGAUAAAAUGUGAGCAAGCUGUGUAAACUGGAAAGCAGUGUGCCAACACUAUUGUUCUUUUUAUUAUCAUUAGUAGGGUAAGUCUUUUAGAUCAAAAACCAUCCAGGACCUUCCUUUUGAAACCUCCUAAUAGCAAUGGAGAAGUGGGCAGUGGAAUUUUCCUACCAGCUUCUAACAUCCCUGAAGCACAGCCCUACAGAUAUAUCACCUAUUGACGCUUGAAAUGCCAUCAUUCCCAUUUCAACCCAUUGGAUUAAGUUUUGCCCUCUCCUCUGGUCCUCCAUAAAAAGGUAAACAUACCCCAGAGGGAGGGACUGUUAAGUCACUAGUAUCUGGGCGUGUAGGAGUGGUAAGCCAUUCUGCCUUGUCUGAAGGACUGGCAUUGAGAGCACACAGCGGAAGGAAGGACCAAGAAAGGGCACAGAAAGAGAACGCCAGGGAGAGGCCAAUGACAAACUUGACCCUCCUUGUUUUGCCUAGAACGAACCGUUCUCUUUUAGCUCCUGGAAAUGAAAGCACCUCGGAACCAGCUAGGAGCCCUCUGCCUUGGAGCCCAUAAAGGUAUCCCCGUUUUACAGCUUAGGAAAGAAAGCUAGACCUUGGGAUAUGCUAUGACUUGCCCAAGAUUUAAUAGAUAGCUGAGAGUGGGGCUGUGUCAGGCUCGUAAAGUCAUUUACUUGCAAGGACACUCUGCUGUCCAGCCAGGUCACAAGACAUCUCAUUUCUACCCCAGAGAUAUGCCCAGACCUUAAAAGCAGUAGCCUGCUGCGUAAAAUGUGACCUGCUCUGCCAUGACUACCAGAGGAAAAGUGACAAUCUGAGUUGACAGAUCUGUCUCCUGAUAUGCAUAACACCAGUCAGACCGUGUGGAUUUUCCUCUCAAUUGACUAACUUUGUUUUUUCUUGCUGAAGUGGACCUGCCUUUCACUGAAUGACCUCAAGGCAGAGCCUUGGCUGUUUUCUUUAAGCACUUAUUUUUCCAUUGGGAAACGGCUGGUGAGUUCACAUCUAGGGAAGCUCACCCCCCACUCAUCCAGCCCCAAAUCUGAGCCUUGACGCAGAACCAAAUGGAAAAAUCCUUUCCUGUGCCCCUCCCCCCAUUUCCUCAUCUGGCUCUCUGCAUGUCACCCUCCACAAGCACCGGGUCCCAUCCAUAGUCUCUGAGCAUUGGCAUCCUCUUCCUGACUCCUGCCUGUGUUAGUCCACUAUAUAUUGCUGUAUUUGCUUAAAUGCUGGAAAGUAACUGUUAAAAUGUGAAACUGUAAUUUUUAAAAAGGCUACAGUUAAAUUUUAGCCAAUGCCACUCACCAAAUCUUUGCACCUAGUAGAUAGAUCAAUGUAAAAAACAAAUACCAGAAACCUAACUGUACAGUGAGUGUGGGGGAAAUGUAGUAACCUAGUUAGUAGUCCUCAAUAUAACCAAUUGUACAAGGGGCAGUGGUGUUUACCUACUUGUCCAUCACCAUUACUGAAAGCUGUACUGAUCAGUUCGUUGAUAACGGGCAUUUUUUUUUUUUUUUUUUACUUCACAGAAUGAGUUCUUUUCUUAACCUUCAACUUACCCUGAGGUCAAGCCUUUUGUCUUUAUGUGUAACCGAUGUUCAGUCUAUUUUUAGGAAUGAACCAGCAAGAUGUUCGUUUAAAACUGACCAAAGACAAUUCAUUCCUGGUCUAGUUUCCUGGGCCUCGGGGCCCAGCUGCCGCUAAAGACCUUUCUGGGAUAAAAUUGAGAACAAGCUGUGCUUCCUACCCCACGCCCCCGUCCCCCUUUAUUCCCUGUUCCUCUUAAAGAGCUGCUCUGAGCUGUGGGAUUCUAUGAAAAAUUCUUGCCUUUCCUUGUUUUCAGUGCUAACGAUUUCUCACCUUGAAGCGCCUUUUGAACCCCAGACAGAGCGCAUAACUGGAGGGAAUUGUAAGCUUGGGAAGUAGACUUGGGAGUGUUUUCUCUGAGGUCACCAGGCCAAGGGGCAGGAGAGAAAUGGAUUCCCAAGGGACGAAAGGUUUCUAUUCAACAAAGAAAUCUGAGUGGGAAGAGACACAGGGAAAUGGAGCCAUCCUUUGGCCACGGCUGGAACCAGCAGUUCAGAGAUCUGCCUUAUAAACACUUCAGAACUGGUUUGUGGUACGCGGAGGGGAGCCAGUGUGGGGAAGGGCCUUUGCGUGGGGCUUCCUUCCCUGUUGGAGGCCCUUGGAGUGCCUUGUUGGGUAUCUUUCUUUCUCAUUCAGGAGGCAUGAAUGCGGAGGACUUCCUAUGACCUGGUGGUUACCUGGCGCCCAGCGCACGUACACGGCUGGUGGAAAACCACAAGGACUAAUGUAAUGGUUCUUCCUCUCAGUCUUUCUGUUCUUAACUUUCCACACAUCCAGAUGGUUCCACACCAGAGCAAAUGCCUCAUUCUCCCGAGAAAGCCAGAAAGAAGAAUGGCUGGCUCCCAACCACGGUGGGGGCCCUGUGGGGCUUGUGGGGACGGGCAGGGAGGAAAAGGCAGGAAGGGGUGAGCCGAGGUGUUGCUUAGCCGAUUUUCUGCUGUGCAGAGCUAAUGCUGACGUUUCAUGUCAACUUCCCCGGUUCUCUGGGGACUCCUCUCUUCUGAGCAGCCAUGUAGAGAAUUCCCCACGUACCCAGAGCUGCCCAGGGGAGUGGAGAGAAGGACUUUGCUGUCAGGUCGGAGUCCUCCUGGCCUCUCUGAGGUUGAUCUGCCAGUGUCCUGCUGUCCCACCCUCUGGGACUGGCCGAAUGGCCAGCGCUGCCCCUUGCUGACACCUCCUUUCUGUGUGAACUGUCCCAGGCAAAUAACAAAGCUGUUCCUUGAACCAGUACAACCAGAGUGCACUUUGCCUUCCUUAGACGGAAGUAGAUUCUGGCUAGAGUUUCCGCUCAGGCUCUAGUCCCCGGCGGUGUGGCUGUUUACACGGUUUGGCAUUAGGUUCGGUUCUGAUUGCUUCAGAGUGGCUGGUCUCUUUCGUUUCCUUCGGUUUCCUUCCUCCCCAAACUGUGUCAGGAAAAAACAAACUGAAACCACCCUAGGAAAUUGCUGGUUGCCUGUCCCCCCGUGAUGAUCAGUGUUGCCCUCUCCCAGAUCCUGUUUCUCCACCCAACGCCCGUCCUCUAGAGUGUCUGACUGGAUCCUCUGUCGCG
This is a long non-coding RNA of Equus caballus (horse), 3358 nucleotides long. Lineage: Eukaryota; Metazoa; Chordata; Mammalia; Perissodactyla; Equidae. The record is from Ensembl.